Molecule: non-coding RNA, 384 nt
Organism: Manis javanica (Malayan pangolin)
Lineage: Eukaryota; Metazoa; Chordata; Mammalia; Pholidota; Manidae
Source: RefSeq, a predicted model, not a curated record
AGAAUGCAUAAUAGUGUUUCUUAUAGACAGCCUCACAGUACAGGGCUGACAGAGCGGAAAAACACGGCCAGGCCAAGGCCACAUGGGACAACGACCGUCAAGCUACACAUAUUGCACCAAGAUCAGUUCCUUAAAAUGGAUGCUCCUGGGAUAUGAAUAAAGAAAAUACAUCUGACAGUUGAGGAUUUCAAACAGUAGAUUUCUUCAUCCUUCAAAUUGCUGACCCCAUGAUGGUGCAGGGGAAACAGCAUUAGACUUGCCUGGAGAAGACUGAAAUCUGUCACUUAUGUUCAAGACCUUGAGGAAAUUGCUUCAUUUCUCAGAGCUUCAAGUUAUUUCUAAAAAUGUGAAUAUUAAUGCCUGCCCUGCCUGUCUCACAGAGCA